Molecule: long non-coding RNA, 537 nt
Filed under: Salvia miltiorrhiza (redroot sage)
Lineage: Eukaryota; Viridiplantae; Streptophyta; Magnoliopsida; Lamiales; Lamiaceae
Description: long non-coding RNA (SMIL_LNC014247)
Source: RNAcentral
CGAAGAGCAGAUAGGGAUUUGCGAGCUAAAAUGGGGUUUAUCGCGGCGCCUAGGGUUAAAAGGGGCGGCGAGAAGACGGCCGGCGUGGCAACGGCGAGUCGACACGGUCGGUGGCAGGCGACGCGGGUUCGAGAUGGAGAGAUAUCUCCGCAGCUGCUGCUACGGGUAAACAAACAGAGGACAACGAGAUGGGGGGCGCAGUGAGUGCCGGGCGGCGCUGGUCGUGGCGGCGAGUCGCGACGGCGGUGGCAGGGCACAGCGAUGGUGAAGAGAGAAAGAGGCCAGGUCCGAUUUGGGGGAAAUUUUGAGGUGUUAGCGUGAAAAUUGAGCGGGAGCAAUGAAUAGGGAUUUUUGGCGUUGAAGAAAUGAAGUCAAAUCUUUUUCUUUCUUUUUUUUCUUUUGUUUCACUUUAAUUAUUUAAUUUUUGGUAUUUAGGUUUCUAAUAAUGUAUUUAGAUUUUAUUAUUUUUCAAAGUCUAUAACUAGAAAUAAAUUCAGAUUUUAGGAUAAAUAAUUUAUUUGUUAUUUUUUAGUAUAA